UGGGGAGUAGCUCAGUGGUAGAGUGUUUGCCUAACAUGCACUAGGGUUUGGGUUCAAUCCCCAGUACCCUUU
RNAcentral lists this transfer RNA (72 nucleotides) under Ictidomys tridecemlineatus (thirteen-lined ground squirrel). Its description in RNAcentral is "Spermophilus tridecemlineatus (thirteen-lined ground squirrel) tRNA". It matches the Rfam family "tRNA". Rfam says of the family: Transfer RNA (tRNA) molecules are approximately 80 nucleotides in length. Lineage: Eukaryota; Metazoa; Chordata; Mammalia; Rodentia; Sciuridae. The record is from Rfam by way of RNAcentral.